RNAcentral lists this ribosomal RNA (509 nucleotides) under uncultured bacterium. RNAcentral describes it as "bacterial SSU rRNA". It matches the Rfam family "Bacterial small subunit ribosomal RNA", at positions 21 to 518 of the family's 1533-position model. The record is from RNAcentral.
GGUUCAGGAUGAACGCUAGCUACAGGCUUAACACAUGCAAGUCGAGGGGCAGCAUGAUCUUAGCUUGCUAAGAUUGAUGGCGACCGGCGCACGGGUGAGUAACGCGUAUCCAACCUUCCCUAUAGUAGGGGAUAGCCCGUAGAAAUGCGGAUUAAUACCCUAUGUUGUAUUUUGAGGACAUCUGACGAAUACCAAAGGUUCACCGCUAUAGGAUGGGGAUGCGUCUGAUUAGGUAGUCGGCGGGGUAACGGCCCACCGAGCCAACGAUCAGUAGGGGUUCUGAGAGGAAGGUCCCCCACAUUGGAACUGAGACACGGUCCAAACUCCUACGGGAGGCAGCAGUGAGGAAUAUUGGUCAAUGGGCGCGAGCCUGAACCAGCCAAGUAGCGUGCAGGAAAGACUGCCCUAUGGGUUGUAAACUGCUUUUAUGCGGGAAUAAAGUCAGGUACGUGUACCUGUUUGUAUGUACCGCAUGAAUAAGGACCGGCUAAUUCCGUGCCAGCAGCUGC